GGGGAAUUAGCUCAGUUGGUAGAGCGCUCGCUUUGCAUGCGAGAGGUACCGGGAUCGAUACCUGAAUUCUCCA
RNAcentral lists this transfer RNA (73 nucleotides) under Octopus bimaculoides (California two-spot octopus). RNAcentral's name for it is "transfer RNA alanine (anticodon UGC)". It matches the Rfam family "tRNA". Rfam says of the family: Transfer RNA (tRNA) molecules are approximately 80 nucleotides in length. Their secondary structure includes four short double-helical elements and three loops (D, anti-codon, and T loops). The record is from RNAcentral. Lineage: Eukaryota; Metazoa; Mollusca; Cephalopoda; Octopoda; Octopodidae.